AUGCUUCACCACCACCACCACCUCCUCUCCUCCUCCGCCUCCUCCUUCCCUCCCGCCGCCGCGCAAUCCCUCCUCCUCCUCCCGCGACAGCCGACCGCCAGCCUGCGCGCCCUCCUCUCCAUGGCCGACGCCGCCUCAACCUCCAGCUCGUUCCGCCCCCCGCGCGCCGUGCUGGCGGCGGCGGUGCCGUCCCUGGGCGCCGAGGAGACCGCCGCGGCGGCCGACGAGGCAUUCCGGAGGCACACCUCGACGGGCCUUCGGAGGGGAGGUGGCGGCGUGGCCGUCGUGUGGUUCAGGAGCGACCUCCGGGUGCUCGACAACGAGGCGCUGGCGCGCGCGUGGGCGGCCUCCGGCGCCGUCCUCCCCGUCUACUGCGUCGACCCCCGCGUCCUCGCCGGCGCCACCCACCGCUUCGGCUUCCCCAAGACCGGAGCACUGAGGGCGCAGUUCCUGAUAGAGUGCCUGGGAGACCUGAAGCAGAAUCUCCAGAAGCGCGGCCUCGACCUGCUCGUCCGGCACGGCAAGCCCGAAGACAUCCUCCCUGCGAUCGCCAAGGCCGUCAGCGCACACACAGUCUAUGCCCACAAGGAGACCUGCAGCGAGGAGCUUCUGGUCGAGCGCCUCGUGCGCAGAGGCCUGGAGCAGGUGGCCGUCCCUCAAGGACAAGGAGGAGCUUCUGGCCGGAGUAAUAAGCCUCUCAGCCCGAAGCUUCAGCUCGUCUGGGGGGCGACGAUGUACCACAUCGACGAUCUCCCGUUCCCUGUCAGCGACCUGCCGGACGUGUACACGCAGUUCAGAAAGGCGGUCGAGUCGAAGUCCUCGGUCCGGAGCUGCGGCAAGCUGCCGCCUUCGCUCGGGCCGGCCCCGGGUUCCGGCCUGGACGAGAUCGGAGGGUGGGGCUCGAUACCUACUCUGGAGUCAUUGGGUCUGAGUGUGACAAAGGCAGAGAAGGGAAUGCGUUUCGUCGGAGGAGAGAGCGCGGCGCUGGGAAGGGUCCAUGAGUACUUCUGGAAGAAUGAUCAGGUGAAAGUGUACAAAGAGACCAGGAACGGCAUGCUUGGGCCGGACUACUCCACCAAGUUCUCCCCUUGGCUUGCUUCGGGCAGUCUUUCGCCGCGCUAUGUUUGCGAAGAGGUUAAGAGAUACGAGAAGCAGAGAAUAGCAAAUGAUUCCACAUACUGGGUUUUAUUUGAGCUGAUAUGGAGAGACUACUUCAGAUUCCUUUCAGCAAAAUAUGGGAACUCCAUUUUCCACUUGGGGGGUCCGAGAAAAGUGGCGUCCAAGUGGAGCCAAGAUCAGGCAUUGUUCGAAUCUUGGAAAGAUGGUCGGACCGGGUACCCUCUUAUUGAUGCCAACAUGAAGGAGCUCUUAGCUACAGGUUUCAUGUCCAACCGUGGCCGGCAGAUUGUCUGCUCUUUUUUGGUCCGGGACAUGGGCAUCGAUUGGCGAAUGGGAGCUGAAUGGUUUGAAACAUGCCUUCUGGAUUAUGACCCUGCUUCAAAUUAUGGUAAUUGGACAUAUGGAGCAGGAGUUGGCAAUGAUCCACGAGAAGAUCGAUACUUCAGCAUCCCCAAGCAAGCCAAGACAUACGAUCCUGAUGGCGAAUAUGUCGCGUACUGGUUACCAGAGCUUCGUUCACUCGCAAAGGAAAGGAGGAACUUCCCAGGGGCCUCAUACAUCAAGCAGGUAGUUCCACUGAAAUUUGAUGGUGGGCAUCAGAGAAAAGAUCAGCAAUUCAACAGGCAGACAAGGCCAAAGAAUAUUUACAGAAGACAAAAGUAA
This 1782-nucleotide ribosomal RNA is filed under the name Triticum aestivum (bread wheat). RNAcentral's name for it is "partial small subunit ribosomal RNA". The record is from RNAcentral. Lineage: Eukaryota; Viridiplantae; Streptophyta; Magnoliopsida; Poales; Poaceae.